Molecule: ribosomal RNA, 253 nt
Filed under: uncultured bacterium
Lineage: Bacteria
Description: partial 16S ribosomal RNA
Rfam family: Bacterial small subunit ribosomal RNA
Source: RNAcentral
UACGUAGGGCGCAAGCGUUAUCCGGAAUUAUUGGGCGUAAAGAGCGUGUAGGCGGUUCGGUAAGUCUGCUGUGAAAUCCUGGGGCUCAACCCCGGGCGUGCAGCGGAUACCGCCGGGCUAGAGGGUGGUAGAGGCGAGUGGAAUUCCCGGUGUAGCGGUGAAAUGCGCAGAUAUCGGGAGGAACACCAGUAGCGAAGGCGGCUCGCUGGGCCACACCUGACGCUGAGGUGCGAAAGCGUGGGGAGCAAACGGG